Molecule: ribosomal RNA, 436 nt
Filed under: uncultured bacterium
Lineage: Bacteria
Description: partial 16S ribosomal RNA
Rfam family: Bacterial small subunit ribosomal RNA
Source: RNAcentral
AACGAACGCUGGCGGCAUGCCUAACACAUGCAAGUCGAACGAUGGUCUUCGGAUCAUAGUGGCGCACGGGUGCGUAACGCGUGGGAAUCUGCCCUUGGGUUCGGAAUAACAGUUGGAAACGACUGCUAAUACCGGAUGAUGUCGAUAAGACCAAAGAUUUAUCGCCCGAGGAUGAGCCCGCGUCGGAUUAGCUAGUUGGUGGGGUAAAGGCCUACCAAGGCGACGAUCUGUAGCUGGUCUGAGAGGAUGAUCAGCCACACUGGGACUGAGACACGGCCCAGACUCCUACGGGAGGCAGCAGUGGGGAAUAUUGGACAAUGGGCGCAAGCCUGAUCCAGCAAUGCCGCGUGAGUGAUGAAGGCCUUAGGGUUGUAAAGCUCUUUUACCCGGGAAGAUAAUGACUGUACCGGGAGAAUAAGCCCCGGCUAACUCCGUG